Molecule: ribosomal RNA, 253 nt
Filed under: uncultured bacterium
Lineage: Bacteria
Description: partial 16S ribosomal RNA
Rfam family: Bacterial small subunit ribosomal RNA
Source: RNAcentral
UACGUAGGGCGCAAGCGUUGUCCGGAAUUAUUGGGCGUAAAGAGCUCGUAGGCGGCCUGUUACGUCUGCUGUGAAAUCCCGGGGCUUAACCCCGGGCGUGCAGUGGAUACGGGCAGGCUGGAGGCAGGCAGGGGAGAACGGAAUUCCCGGUGUAGCGGUGAAAUGCGCAGAUAUCGGGAGGAACACCGGUGGCGAAGGCGGUCCUCUGGGCCUGUACUGACGCUGAGGAGCGAAAGCGUGGGGAGCGAACAGG